GGCCCUGUGGCUCAGUUGAUAGAGCAUGGUGUUUGCAACGCCAGGGUUGUGGGUUCGAUUCCCACAGGGUCCA
Molecule: transfer RNA, 73 nt
Filed under: Salmo salar (Atlantic salmon)
Lineage: Eukaryota; Metazoa; Chordata; Actinopteri; Salmoniformes; Salmonidae
Rfam family: tRNA
About the family: Transfer RNA (tRNA) molecules are approximately 80 nucleotides in length. Their secondary structure includes four short double-helical elements and three loops (D, anti-codon, and T loops). Further hydrogen bonds mediate the characteristic L-shaped molecular structure. tRNAs have two regions of fundamental functional importance: the anti-codon, which is responsible for specific mRNA codon recognition, and the 3' end, to which the tRNAs corresponding amino acid is attached (by aminoacyl-tRNA synthetases). tRNAs cope with the degeneracy of the genetic code in two manners: having more than one tRNA (with a specific anti-codon) for a particular amino acid; and 'wobble' base-pairing, i.e. permitting non-standard base-pairing at the 3rd anti-codon position.
Source: Rfam by way of RNAcentral